Molecule: ribosomal RNA, 1411 nt
Filed under: metagenome
Description: bacterial SSU rRNA
Rfam family: Bacterial small subunit ribosomal RNA
Source: RNAcentral
GCGAGUGGCGAACGGGUGAGUAAUGCAUCGGAACGUGCCAUUGAGUGGGGGAUAACGUAGCGAAAGUUGCGCUAAUACCGCAUAUUCUGUGAGCAGGAAAGCAGGGGACCGCAAGGCCUUGCGCUCUUUGAGCGGCCGAUGUCAGAUUAGCUAGUUGGUGAGGUAAAGGCUUACCAAGGCGACGAUCUGUAGCGGGUCUGAGAGGAUGAUCCGCCACACUGGAACUGAGACACGGUCCAGACUCCUACGGGAGGCAGCAGUGGGGAAUUUUGGACAAUGGGGGCAACCCUGAUCCAGCCAUGCCGCGUGAGUGAAGAAGGCCUUCGGGUUGUAAAGCUCUUUCGGCCGGGAAGAAAUCGCAUGGGCCAAUACCCUGUGUGGAUGACGGUACCGGAAUAAGAAGCACCGGCUAACUACGUGCCAGCAGCCGCGGUAAUACGUAGGGUGCGAGCGUUAAUCGGAAUUACUGGGCGUAAAGCGUGCGCAGGCGGUUUUGUAAGACAGGCGUGAAAUCCCCGGGCUUAACCUGGGAACUGCGUUUGUGACUGCAAGGCUAGAGUACGGCAGAGGGGGGUGGAAUUCCACGUGUAGCAGUGAAAUGCGUAGAGAUGUGGAGGAACACCAAUGGCGAAGGCAGCCCCCUGGGUCGAUACUGACGCUCAUGCACGAAAGCGUGGGUAGCAAACAGGAUUAGAUACCCUGGUAGUCCACGCCCUAAACUAUGUCAACUAGGUGUUGGGUGGGUAAAACCAUUUAGUACCGUAGCUAACGCGUGAAGUUGACCGCCUGGGGAGUACGGCCGCAAGGUUAAAACUCAAAGGAAUUGACGGGGACCCGCACAAGCGGUGGAUGAUGUGGAUUAAUUCGAUGCAACGCGAAAAACCUUACCUACCCUUGACAUGCCAGGAACUUGCCAGAGAUGCUUGGUGCCCGAAAGGGAGCCUGGACACAGGUGCUGCAUGGCUGUCGUCAGCUCGUGUCGUGAGAUGUUGGGUUAAGUCCCGCGACGAGCGCAACCCUUGUCGUUAAUUGCCAUCAUUUAGUUGGGCACUUUAACGAGACUGCCGGUGACAAACCGGAGGAAGGUGGGGAUGACGUCAAGUCCUCAUGGCCCUUAUGGGUAGGGCUUCACACGUCAUACAAUGGUCGGUACAAAGGGUUGCCAAGCCGCGAGGCGGAGCCAAUCCCAGAAAGCCGAUCGUAGUCCGGAUUGCAGGCUGCAACUCGCCUGCAUGAAGUCGGAAUCGCUAGUUAUCGUGGAUCAGCAUGUCACGGUGAAUACGUUCCCGGGUCUUGUACACACCGCCCGUCACACCAUGGGAGCGGGUUCCGCCAGAAGUAGGUAGCCUAACCGCAAGGGGGGCGCUUACCACGGCGGGGUUCGUGACUGGGGUGAAGUCGUAACAAGGUA